AAACAUGUCUUUUAAGAUUAUAAUUAAAAGUCUAAUCUGCUCCAUGAUUAAUAUUAAAUAGCUGCAGUAUUUUGACUGUACAAAGGUAGCAUAAUCAAUAGUUUUUUAAUUAAAAGCUGGAAUGAAUGAUUUGAUAAGGAAAAUAUUGUCUCAAAUUUAUUAGUAUUAGAAUUUUUUUUUUAGUAAAAAUACUAAAGUGAAUUUAAAAGACGAGAAGACCCUAUAGAUUUUUAUAUUUUAUUAAUUUUAUUAAUUUAAAAUUAAAUUGUUAUAAAAUUAAUGGAUAUUUAAUUGGGGUAAUUAUUAAAUUAAAAAAAUUUUGAUUUUUAAAAAACAAUAUUAAUUGAAUGAUUGAUCUUUAAGUUUAAGAUUAAAAGAAUAAAAUACCUUAGGGAUAACAGCGUAAUUUUUUUAGAGAGAUCUUAUUGAUAAAAAAGUUUGCGACCUCGAUGUUGAAUUAAGAUAAAAUUUUAAUGUAGAUGUUAAAAAUUUUUGGUCUGUUCGACCAUUGAAAUCUUACGUGAUC
This 526-nucleotide ribosomal RNA is filed under the name Xoridesopus asperus. RNAcentral describes it as "partial 16S large subunit ribosomal RNA". The stretch from base 394 to 526 matches the Rfam family "Archaeal large subunit ribosomal RNA", at positions 2542 to 2674 of the family's 2987-position model. Lineage: Eukaryota; Metazoa; Arthropoda; Insecta; Hymenoptera; Ichneumonidae. The record is from RNAcentral.